UAAGCGGAGGACUAACAGGAUUCCCCUAGUAACGGCGAGUGAAGCGGGAUGAGCUCAAGCCAUACAAUUUUUGUAUGGCGAAUUGUAGCCUAUAGAAACGUGGUAAGUGUAGGCACUUGGGGUAAGUUCCUUGGAAAAGGACAGCAUGGAGGGUGAUACUCCCGUUUAUCUCUAAGUUGCUUAUACGUACGACCCGUUUUCUUUGAGUCGCGUUGUUUGAGAAUGCAGCGCAAAGUAGGUGGUAAAUUCCAUCUAAAGCUAAAUAUUGGUGCGAGACCGAAAGCACACAAUUACCGUGAGGGAAAGAUGAAAAGAACUUUGAAAAUAGAGUUAAAGAGUACCUGAAACUGCUGAAAGGGAACCAAAUCGUUUCCAGUGUCUAUAAUCCGUGGUAUAUCACAUCGGCGAGCGUGUGCGUGUGUGUGCUGUUGUAGUGGCCUUUUGGUUACGCUCGGCGUAUGUGCUGUAUAUGCUUGCUGGUGCCCUGUACUGCGGUGGGACGUCAAGGUCAGUUCGUAUGCUGCGGGAAAUGACUACCAAGGAGGUAGGGCUUACGCUUG
Molecule: ribosomal RNA, 560 nt
Filed under: Plasmopara halstedii
Lineage: Eukaryota; Oomycota; Peronosporomycetes; Peronosporales; Peronosporaceae
Description: LSU rRNA
Rfam family: Eukaryotic large subunit ribosomal RNA
Source: RNAcentral